RNAcentral lists this ribosomal RNA (338 nucleotides) under uncultured bacterium. Its description in RNAcentral is "bacterial SSU rRNA". It matches the Rfam family "Bacterial small subunit ribosomal RNA", at positions 29 to 371 of the family's 1533-position model. The record is from RNAcentral.
AUUGAACGCUGGCGGCAUGCUUUACACAUGCAAGUCGAGCGGCAGCGCGGGGCAACCUGGCGGCGAGCGGCGAACGGGUGAGUAAUGCAUCGGAACAUGUCCAUGUCGUGGGGGAUAGCCCGGCGAAAGCCGGAUUAAUACCGCAUACGCCCGAGAGGGGAAAGUGGGGGACCGCAAGGCCUCACGCGAUUGGGUUGGCCGAUGUCCGAUUAGCUAGUUGGCGGGGAAUGGCCCACCAAGGCGAUGAUCGGUAGCUGGUCUGAGAGGAUGAUCAGCCACACUGGGACUGAGACACGGCCCAGACUCCUACGGGAGGCAGCAGUGGGAAUUUUGGACAA